This 422-nucleotide long non-coding RNA is filed under the name Pongo abelii (Sumatran orangutan). RNAcentral describes it as "lincRNA". Lineage: Eukaryota; Metazoa; Chordata; Mammalia; Primates; Hominidae. The record is from RNAcentral.
GGCUGGCGCUAGCUUUGUAUUCAGUGGUCUCUUCCUCUUUGUAGCCUCUGUGUUUGGCCCAAAGGUAAGUCCCCACCCUGAUCCCCAGAACCCGUGACAUUUGCCUUAUUUGGAAAAAGAGUCUCAAUAUAUUGACACCAUGAUAUGGAGAAGAUUGUCCUGGGGCGUCCUAAAUGCAGUCACAAUAGAGAGACAGGAGAUUUCACCCAGGCAGACGAGGAGGCUGCAGUGCGACAUAGAGACAGAGACAGAGACGGGAGACAGAGACGGGAGUGAUGUGGCCGCAGGCCGAGCACGCCUGGGAGAGGCAGGAAGGAGCCCCGGAGCCUCUGGAGGGAGAGAGGCCUCCACACACCUUGACUUCAGCCCCGUGGUGCUGAUUCUGGACUUUUCAUUUCCAGAAAUGUAAGAAAAUGAACGUU